RNAcentral lists this transfer RNA (65 nucleotides) under Epeorus bispinosus. RNAcentral's name for it is "tRNA-Phe". Lineage: Eukaryota; Metazoa; Arthropoda; Insecta; Ephemeroptera; Heptageniidae. The record is from RNAcentral. RNAcentral also lists the same sequence under 1 other name.
GUUUAAAUAGCUUAUAUUAGAGCAUAACACUGAAGAUGUUAGGGAGAUUUUAGGAUCUUUGGACA